GUAGGGAAUCUUGCGCAAUGGGCGAAAGCCUGACGCAGCCAUGCCGCGUGAAUGAUGAAGGUCUUAGGAUUGUAAAAUUCUUUCACCGGGGACGAUAAUGACGGUACCCGGAGAAGAAGCCCCGGCUAACUUCGUGCCAGCAGCCGCGGUAAUACGAAGGGGGCUAGCGUUGCUCGGAAUUACUGGGCGUAAAGGGCGCGUAGGCGGACAGCUUAGUCAGAGGUGAAAGCCCAGGGCUCAACCUUGGAAUUGCCUUUGAUACUGGCUGUCUUGAGUUUGGGAGAGGUGAGUGGAACUCCGAGUGUAGAGGUGAAAUUCGUAGAUAUUCGGAAGAACACCAGUGGCGAAGGCGACUCACUGGCCCAAUACUGACGCUGAGGCGCGAAAGCGUGGGGAGCAAACAGGAUUAGAAACCCUGGUAGUCC
This 425-nucleotide ribosomal RNA is filed under the name uncultured bacterium. Its description in RNAcentral is "partial 16S ribosomal RNA". It matches the Rfam family "Bacterial small subunit ribosomal RNA", at positions 354 to 796 of the family's 1533-position model. The record is from RNAcentral.